Non-coding RNA from Phrynosoma platyrhinos (Desert horned lizard), 73 nucleotides. Lineage: Eukaryota; Metazoa; Chordata; Lepidosauria; Squamata; Phrynosomatidae. The record is from the annotation of a GenBank genome assembly.
GCCAGCGUAGCGUAGCGGUUUGAGCGCUGGGCUGUGACUCUGGAGACCCAGGGUUCGAUUCCCGGCUGAGCCU